Molecule: ribosomal RNA, 478 nt
Filed under: uncultured bacterium
Lineage: Bacteria
Description: partial 16S ribosomal RNA
Rfam family: Bacterial small subunit ribosomal RNA
Source: RNAcentral
GACGAACGCUGGCGGCGUGCUUAACACAUGCAAGUCGAACGGUAAGGCCCUUCGGGGUACACGAGUGGCGAACGGGUGAGUAACACGUGGGUGAUCUGCCCUGCACUUCGGGAUAAGCCUGGGAAACUGGGUCUAAUACCGGAUAGGACCACUGCCCGCAUGGGUGGUGGUGGAAAGCUUUUGCGGUGUGGGAUGGGCCCGCGGCCUAUCAGCUUGUUGGUGGGGUGAUGGCCUACCAAGGCGACGACGGGUAGCCGGCCUGAGAGGGUGACCGGCCACACUGGGACUGAGAUACGGCCCAGACUCCUACGGGAGGCAGCAGUGGGGAAUAUUGCACAAUGGGCGCAAGCCUGAUGCAGCGACGCCGCGUGAGGGAUGACGGCCUUCGGGUUGUAAACCUCUUUCAGCACCGACGAAGCGCAAGUGACGGUAGGUGCAGAAGAAGGACCGGCCAACUACGUGCCAGCCGCCGCGGUAG